CUCGCGGCCUAUCAGCUAGUUGGUGGGGUAACGGCCCACCAAGGCAUCGACGGGUAGCUGGUCUGAGAGGACGAUCAGCCACACUGGGACUGAGACACGGCCCAGACUCCUACGGGAGGCAGCAGUGGGGAAUCUUGCGCAAUGGGCGAAAGCCUGACGCAGCAACGCCGCGUGGGGGAUGAAGGCCUCUCGGGUUGUAAACCCCUUUCAGCAGGGACGAAAAGACGGUACCUGCAGAAGAAGCCCCGGCCAACUACGUGCCAGCAGCCGCGGUAAUU
Molecule: ribosomal RNA, 278 nt
Filed under: Aeromonas salmonicida subsp. salmonicida 01-B526
Lineage: Bacteria; Pseudomonadati; Pseudomonadota; Gammaproteobacteria; Aeromonadales; Aeromonadaceae
Description: partial 16S ribosomal RNA
Rfam family: Bacterial small subunit ribosomal RNA
Source: RNAcentral